This 775-nucleotide ribosomal RNA is filed under the name uncultured Neocallimastigales. RNAcentral's name for it is "partial large subunit ribosomal RNA". It matches the Rfam family "Eukaryotic large subunit ribosomal RNA", at positions 25 to 605 of the family's 3401-position model. The record is from RNAcentral. Lineage: Eukaryota; Fungi; Neocallimastigomycota; Neocallimastigomycetes; Neocallimastigales.
UCGACGAUGCGUCAUGCAUAUCAAUAAGCGGAGGAAAAGAAACUAACAAGGAUUCCCUUAGUAACGGCGAGUGAAGCGGGAAGAGCUCAAAUUUGAAAUCUUCAAGGUUUUACCUUGACGAAUUGUAGUUUAAAGAAGUGUUUUCUGCUGAAGUUUUGGUAAAAGUUCUUUGGAAUAGGACAUCAUAGAGGGUGAGAAUCCCGUAUUUGACCAUUAUUUUCAGCUUUGUGAUACACUUUCAAAGAGUCGGAUUGUUUGGGAAUGCAGUCCAAAAUGGGUGGUAAAUUUCAUCUAAAGCUAAAUAUUGGCGAGAGACCGAUAGCGAACAAGUACCGUGAGGGAAAGAUGAAAAGAACUUUGAAAAGAGAGUUAAACAGUACUGUGAAAUUGUCAAAAGGGAAGCGUUUGACACCAGUGUUGUUUUCUCGAAAAUCAAUUAAAAAUGGCUCGAUUUUGUAUUGCUUGAGACCUUAAAAGCUCACUGUACAUUUUUCGUGUCUUUUUUAAUGCACUUUUCGUUUAACAAGUCAACAUCAGUUUCUUUUGUUGUAAAAGGGUCAUUGGAAGGUGGCUUUCUUUUCGGAGAAAGUGUUUAUAGCCUUUGGCCUCUGCAAUCGAAGAGACUGAAGUCUGCAGCGUAGACUCUCCGGGGUUAGAUACAUUUGUGCUAAGUUAUAGCUUUUUAUAGACAACUUGUUGACUAUAAUUAGUCUUGUAGCUUACUCGCUUAUGCUAUUUUACCUACGCUUAGGAUGUUGACGAUCAGCUGAGCGCG